Molecule: ribosomal RNA, 643 nt
Filed under: uncultured bacterium
Lineage: Bacteria
Description: bacterial SSU rRNA
Rfam family: Bacterial small subunit ribosomal RNA
Source: RNAcentral
CGCGGCCUAUCAGCUUGUUGGUGAGGUAAUGGCUCACCAAGGCGACGACGGGUAGCCGGCCUGAGAGGGCGACCGGCCACACUGGGACUGGGACACGGCCCAGACUCCUACGGGAGGCAGCAGUGGGGAAUAUUGCACAAUGGGCGAAAGCCUGAUGCAGCGACGCCGCGUGAGGGAUGACGGCCUUCGGGUUGUAAACCUCUUUCAGCAGGGAAGAAGCGAAAGUGACGGUACCUGCAGAAGAAGCGCCGGCUAACUACGUGCCAGCAGCCGCGGUAAUACGUAGGGCGCAAGCGUUGUCCGGAAUUAUUGGGCGUAAAGAGCUCGUAGGCGGUCUGUCGCGUCGGAUGUGAAAGCCCGGGGCUUAACCCCGGGUCUGCAUUCGAUACGGGCAGACUAGAGUGUGGUAGGGGAGAUCGGAAUUCCUGGUGUGGCGGUGAAAUGCGCAGAUAUCAGGAGGAACACCGGUGGCGAAGGCGGAUCUCUGGGCCAUUACUGACGCUGAGGAGCGAAAGCGUGGGGAGCGAACAGGAUUAGAUACCCUGGUAGUCCACGCCGUAAACGGUGGGAACUAGGUGUUGGCGACAUUCCACGUCGUCGGUGCCGCAGCUAACGCAUUAAGUUCCCCGCCUGGGGAGUACGG